Molecule: long non-coding RNA, 626 nt
Organism: Daphnia magna
Lineage: Eukaryota; Metazoa; Arthropoda; Branchiopoda; Diplostraca; Daphniidae
Exons: 4
Source: RefSeq, a predicted model, not a curated record
UAUCUUCCAUUACACACAUCUGUAACAAUUUUCUCUACACCUUAGGCUUCUCUUCCUCUCUUCUUAAUCUGCUGAAUGCCAACAUUGAAUAAGGUUCAUCGUCAUUGCCUUUCCAUGAAAUCAUAAUUGUUAAUCCUGCUGUUAUUCUCAACAUUACUUAGCCAGCUCACGUGGAUAGGCUUUAACAUCAACUCCAUUUUUUGGACUGCAAAUAUUCAUCUUCCUUCGGUACGACACUGCCGUUUUGACCAUUUCGGUAGUUUCGCCCCCAGUGGACCACACGCAACUACUUUUUCUUCGCCUUCCUGUCGUUUUUGUCUACGACUUCACCUCAUCGCUGUCUUCGUUGACGUCUUCGCCCUCAUCUCCGUCUCGUCUUCUUGGUCGUCUUCGCCUUCUCUCCGUCUCGUUGUCUACGUCGUCUUUGUCUACGCCAUCACCUCGUCGUCGGCUUCUCUUUCGCCCAUCACGUAGAGAAUUCACCGUGGAUCGUCGCUCUGGUAUUGUUUUAUUUUGAAUUGUUAUGUUUAAGUUAACCCGUUGGCUGCCACCCCGUUUGCGUCCCAUUUUUUUUGUAGCUUGUAGGGACCGGCCGCAAUGGCCUUCGCCGCAAGGCGCCUUAGGCA